UACGUAUGGUGCAAGCGUUAUCCGGAUUUACUGGGUGUAAAGGGAGCGCAGGCGGUGCGGCAAGUCUGAUGUGAAAGCCCGGGGCUCAACCCCGGUACUGCAUUGGAAACUGUCGUACUAGAGUGUCGGAGGGGUAAGCGGAAUUCCUAGUGUAGCGGUGAAAUGCGUAGAUAUUAGGAGGAACACCAGUGGCGAAGGCGGCUUACUGGACGAUAACUGACGCUGAGGCUCGAAAGCGUGGGGAGCAAACAGGAUUAGAUACCCUGGGGCUGACUGACU
This 279-nucleotide ribosomal RNA is filed under the name Roseburia faecis M72/1. RNAcentral describes it as "partial 16S ribosomal RNA". It matches the Rfam family "Bacterial small subunit ribosomal RNA", at positions 524 to 803 of the family's 1533-position model. Lineage: Bacteria; Bacillati; Bacillota; Clostridia; Lachnospirales; Lachnospiraceae. The record is from RNAcentral.